GGUUCCAUAGUGUAGCGGUUAGCAUGUCUGCUUUACACACAGAAGGUCCUGGGUUUGUGCCCCAGUGGAGCCG
This 73-nucleotide transfer RNA is filed under the name Pteropus alecto (black flying fox). It matches the Rfam family "tRNA". From Rfam's summary of the family: Transfer RNA (tRNA) molecules are approximately 80 nucleotides in length. Their secondary structure includes four short double-helical elements and three loops (D, anti-codon, and T loops). The record is from Rfam by way of RNAcentral. Lineage: Eukaryota; Metazoa; Chordata; Mammalia; Chiroptera; Pteropodidae.